Molecule: long non-coding RNA, 1878 nt
Organism: Felis catus (domestic cat)
Lineage: Eukaryota; Metazoa; Chordata; Mammalia; Carnivora; Felidae
Exons: 4
Source: RefSeq, a predicted model, not a curated record
AAAAAAAAAAAAAACAAGAAGGAAAGAAAGAUUAACUCAGAACCUAAUGCGGGCAGAGGAUUCUACCAGGUCCCUGGGGACCAUGCAGAUUGAUUAGUUUUAGUCUCUACCCACCAAGAAUUUACAAUCAAGACAGAAAUAUUUGAAAAUAUGCAAAGACCCAUCUGUCUUUGGCUUUACUCAUUUCCUGAGAUAUAUAGGAAGAGAGGUGUUUUGAAAGUCGGUAACAUUUCACUUCUCUAUUGAAGAGCUUCAAGUCGGUGGGAAAAUCUUAAAAUCUGAAAUCUAAGGGUAAGCGAGAUCUUCUAAGGAAUUAACUCAUGAAGUUUUGGAGGCUGAGAAGCCCGAGAUCUUCAGCAGUUCAUGGAGUUUUGGAGACUUGCCAACUUGACCGGCGGGCACGGUUGGGGCAUCCCAGGACUUCUGGCUCUUUCUGCAUCAACCAGCCCAUCUCUCCUGGGCAUAAGCUAUGAAACGAACCACCUUUGUACCUAGAGCAACUUCUUUGGAGGAAAAGGGAGGCUGGAAUUUCAGAGUGUGGCUAAAUAAUGCAGAAAUGCGAGGGCCCCACUCUGACCCCGCGGACAGCCUUGAAGAUUCAUCCUACCGGGAUUGCGUCCCUCUGCCUCCCUUCCACGAUUUCACACAGUUCCAAGCGCGUGUCUUGCACACCCUUGUGCUCCGGGCCCCGGAGGGAGGCAGAGAGGAGAAAGCUCCAUGUUGGAGGCUCCGUUCUCUCACUCUUUGCUGUGCAACCCCAAGCAACUUGUGUCUUCUCUUUGCUGAGGCCGAAACCAGAAUGACUGCUACGAAGUAGGAAGCUAACCAACCAGAUACAUAACCUUGAAACUCCUAGACGAAAUUUCACGGGAGACUUAAUGCUUGUGUUAACAGUCUUCCAGAAGUCUUGUUCCAGUCCGAGGACAGCUUCUAAAAUUUUGACUGCCGUCUGUUUGGCAAACAUAGACUGGAUAGUUGAGCAAGGCGCAACACGAGGAUAAUGUCUGGGAACUUGUUAGAAAUGCGCAUUCGCGGGCCCCAGGCCCACUGAUUCGGAAGCUCAGGCCACGGGGCCCAGGAGUCUGUGUUUUCACUGCCAUCUGUGGGAUUCUGGCACGCGCCGAUGGCUGUUUUCCAUAAUUUCCGCAUUUCCGGGCCGUGUCGUUUUACUGAAUUGUUUAUUCUAUGUAACAUUUGGUGACAAGUCCUCUGACUGACUUCCCUAUAGAGUUUGGAUUUUCAAGCAUGACCCCCACUGCUGGAACCCCAUGCCACAAGCGCUCUCCAACUUGACAACAUCGUAAGCCAUUUUCCCGGGAGCACCUUAAAAAUGUGGUUUCCCCCAAAGACGCGAAGGCUGUCAUAAAGGAGGAGGACAAAGUUCCAUCAGACAGUGUGCAAGACAGGCCGAUGUGCAGAUUAUUUAUGAAUUACGGCAUUACGGUAUUUACCUGCUCCGUGGUUAUACAUGUGCCGGUCAGGACGAGAGAAUACAUUAUGUGCACGGCAGUGUCAGGACACAGAUGAGCUAAGUCGUAUGUAGAAAUGUCCCUUCUCCAGGGACAGCAUGAUCACUUAAGUGCUGCGGGGUGUCAGCCGCCUUUUGGGGGCCCUGCCCCCAAAUGAAGAAUGAAGAAGCAAUGUUGUGCUGGACAAAGUGAGAACCCCCUGCUGGUAUUGGCCGCGGUGGGAGAAUUUACACCGUGGAGACUGACAAAUGCUAGAAAUGAGGGCUUUAAACAUUUUUGAUUUUUGAGGGUGGGUUUACCAGCAGGCCACCGGAUUUAGGAGCAUAUGGAGCUUCAAGGUGGGUCCCAUUCACUAAGGUCCUCUCCUCUGGAAUAGCAGUGUUUGAAAUACUAUUGGUUUCAGGAUCAA